This 465-nucleotide ribosomal RNA is filed under the name uncultured bacterium. RNAcentral's name for it is "partial 16S ribosomal RNA". It matches the Rfam family "Bacterial small subunit ribosomal RNA", at positions 31 to 507 of the family's 1533-position model. The record is from RNAcentral.
GAACGCUGGCGGCGUGCUUAACACAUGCAAGUCGAACGGAAAGGCCCUGCUUUUGUGGGGUGCUCGGGUGGCGAACGGGUGAGUAACACGUGAGUAACCUGCCCUUGACUUUGGGAUAACUUCAGGAAACUGGGGCUAAUACCGGAUAGGAGCUCCUGCUGCAUGGUGGGGGUUGGAAAGUUUCGGCGGUUGGGGAUGGACUCGCGGCUUAUCAGCUUGUUGGUGGGGUAGUGGCUUACCAAGGCUUUGACGGGUAGCCGGCCUGAGAGGGUGACCGGCCACAUUGGGACUGAGAUACGGCCCAGACUCCUACGGGAGGCAGCAGUGGGGAAUAUUGCACAAUGGGCGGAAGCCUGAUGCAGCAACGCCGCGUGCGGGAUGACGGCCUUCGGGUUGUAAACCGCUUUCGCCUGUGACGAAGCGUGAGUGACGGUAAUGGGUAAAGAAGCACCGGCUAACUACGUG